CUGUGGCUAAUACCGCAUGAUGACUGAGGUCUAAAGGCGCAAGUCGCCUGAGGAGGAGCCUGCGUCCGAUUUAGCUAGUUGGUGGGGUAAAGGCCUACCCAAGGCUCCGAUCGGUAGCUGGUCUGAGAGGAUGAUCAGCCACACUGGGACUGAGACACGGCCCAGACUCCUACGGGAGGCAGCAGUGGGGAAUAUUGGACAAUGGGCGCAAGCCUGAUCCAGCAAUGCCGCGUGGGUGAAGAAGGUCUUCGGAUUGUAAAGCCCUUUCGACGGGGACGAUGAUGACGGUACCCGUAGAAGAAGCCCCGGCUAACUUCGUG
Molecule: ribosomal RNA, 320 nt
Filed under: uncultured bacterium
Lineage: Bacteria
Description: bacterial SSU rRNA
Rfam family: Bacterial small subunit ribosomal RNA
Source: RNAcentral